RNAcentral lists this ribosomal RNA (379 nucleotides) under uncultured eukaryote. RNAcentral describes it as "partial 18S ribosomal RNA". It matches the Rfam family "Eukaryotic small subunit ribosomal RNA", at positions 592 to 976 of the family's 1831-position model. The record is from RNAcentral.
CAAUAGCGUAUAUUUAAGUUGUUGCAGUUAAAAAGCUCGUAGUUGGAUUUCGGAUGGGACUUGCCGGUCCGUCGUUUCGAUGUGCACUGGCCAGUCCUAUCUUGUUGUCGGGGACUAGCUCCUGGGCUUCACUGUCCGGGACUAGGAGCUGACGAGGUUACUUUGAGUAAAUUAGAGUGUUCAAAGCAAGCCUACGCUCUGAAUACAUUAGCAUGGAAUAACACGACAGGACUCUGGCCUAUCGUGUUGGUCUAUAGGACCAGAGUAAUGAUUAAGAGGGACAGUCGGGGGCAUUCGUAUUCCGUUGUCAGAGGUGAAAUUCUUGGAUUUACGGAAGACGAACAUCUGCGAAAGCAUUUGCCAAGGAUGUUUNCAUUGA